GACGAACGCUGGCGGCGUGCCUAAUACAUGCAAGUAGAACGCUGAAGGAGGAGCUUGCUCUUCUGGAUGAGUUGCGAACGGGUGAGUAACGCGUAGGUAACCUGCCUGGUAGCGGGGGAUAACUAUUGGAAACGAUAGCUAAUACCGCAUAACAGUAGAUGUUGCAUGACAUUUACUUAAAAGGUGCAAUUGCAUCACUACCAGAUGGACCUGCGUUGUAUUAGCUAGUUGGUGGGGUAACGGCUCACCAAGGCGACGAUACAUAGCCGACCUGAGAGGGUGGUCGGCCACACUGGGACUGAGACACGGGCCAGACUCCUACGGGAGGCAGCAGGAGGGAAUCUUCGGCAAUAGACGGAAGUCUGACCGAGCAACGCCGCGUGAGUGAAGAAGGGUUUCGGAUCGGAAAGCUCUGUUGUAAGAGAAGAACGAGUGUGAGAGUGGAAAGUUCACACUGUGACGGUAUCUUACCAGAAAGGGACGGCUAACUACGUG
This 495-nucleotide ribosomal RNA is filed under the name uncultured bacterium. RNAcentral describes it as "partial 16S ribosomal RNA". It matches the Rfam family "Bacterial small subunit ribosomal RNA", at positions 28 to 507 of the family's 1533-position model. The record is from RNAcentral.